GACGAACGCUGGCGGCGUGCUUAACACAUGCAAGUCGAACGGAAAGGCCCUGCUUUUGUGGGGUGCUCGAGUGGCGAACGGGUGAGUAACACGUGAGUAACCUGCCCUUGACUUUGGGAUAACUUCAGGAAACUGGGGCUAAUACCGGAUAGGAGCUCCUGCUGCAUGGUGGGGGUUGGAAAGUUUCGGCGGUUGGGGAUGGACUCGCGGCUUAUCAGCUUGUUGGUGGGGUAGUGGCUUACCAAGGCUUUGACGGGUAGCCGGCCUGAGAGGGUGACCGGCCACAUUGGGACUGAGAUACGGCCCAGACUCCUACGGGAGGCAGCAGUGGGGAAUAUUGCACAAUGGACGGAAGCCUGAUGCAGCAACGCCGCGUGCGGGAUGACGGCCUUCGGGUUGUAAACCGCUUUCGCCUGUGACGAAGCGUGAGUGACGGUAAUGGGUAAAGAAGCACCGGCUAACCACGUG
This 468-nucleotide ribosomal RNA is filed under the name uncultured bacterium. RNAcentral describes it as "partial 16S ribosomal RNA". It matches the Rfam family "Bacterial small subunit ribosomal RNA", at positions 28 to 507 of the family's 1533-position model. The record is from RNAcentral.